AUGAUAUACGAAAUCACAAUUGCAUUUCAAUGUCUUUUAUUUGUACAUGAAUACAAGAAACAUUUCAAUGGCAAUGGUUUUCUUUCAAAUAUAUGGAAGGGCUACACCCUCGAUAUAACCGCCGCCUCAUCUACUUGUGUUUUAUUCCAUUUUGAGACCGCCUCUCCCUUCUUCCGCUUCCGAUUCCGAUCAGUCACAUAGUCUGAUGCUUUCCCGCCUAUCUCUCAUCUAUCUAUCUACUCAAAUUCCUCAAGCCUUCCUUCCGUUCUUGCGACAGGUUUGAUACUUCAUUUUUAUAGACAGACGAGUCGAGAGACAAAGAUCGAGUGAGAGAGAGAGGUGUAAAGUAGAUGAAAUAGACAUCGGAAGACCACACUUGCACUACAGUACGUUUUCUUUCCUGAUUUCUUCUAGAUUAGGGUUUCUUUAAAAUUGUUGGUGUGAUUUUCCGUCUUUUGAUUUUUAUUUUCCAUGUUAACAACUUGAAUUGUGAUUCAACGAGUGCUUGCUCUAGCUGUUGGGUACGCAACAUCGAAGAUGUUGGAGAUGGUGCCACUCAUGUCGCACUCAUUGUAAAAGGUUAUAUUCAAGAAAGAAUUGUAAUCGAUGGUAUUUCCACAUACAAAGACAAAGAUCGACUCGGAUACCAAUUGAAUCAACAUUUAUGCUGAUUGGAAACGAUUGUCCCUGAAACAGCUUUGGAUGACAUGUUAAUUUCUAUAUUGGUUGCAGUAGCAAGGCAUUCCCCUACAUCUGCAGGUGCGAGAGAUUAAUUCAAGUUAUAGUCCAGAAAUUCACUACAAAUAAAUAACCAAAUGGGAAUUCACUUUAUAAAAGAUAAAAUCCAUUUAUAAAGAAGCUGUCGUGGGUUUGUAUGCCCACUCCGAAUAGCCUUAGGCGACUUUAAUUAUCGAUCGAUGAUAUAUCUUAUGAUGAAGCACGUGAUUUUAUCUCAAAAAGAAGCUUCGAUUGGCUUAGAGAGAAAGAUCAAUUACAUAUGGAAAUGAAAGCCGGAAGUGUUUUCCAAGGAAUGCGUUCGUGAAGCUUUUAUCACAAUCCCACCAACAUACAAUUUCGAAAGGCAUCAACCUGGUUUAAUUAUCGUAUAGUAAUAUAAUAAAUUAUUUAUAAAAUGGGUUGGGUCUAAGUUUUUAACUUUUGUA
Molecule: long non-coding RNA, 1163 nt
Organism: Lactuca sativa (garden lettuce)
Lineage: Eukaryota; Viridiplantae; Streptophyta; Magnoliopsida; Asterales; Asteraceae
Source: RefSeq, a predicted model, not a curated record